RNAcentral lists this ribosomal RNA (360 nucleotides) under Acanthamoeba genotype T4. RNAcentral describes it as "SSU rRNA". It matches the Rfam family "Eukaryotic small subunit ribosomal RNA", at positions 785 to 1101 of the family's 1831-position model. Lineage: Eukaryota; Discosea; Longamoebia; Acanthamoebidae. The record is from RNAcentral.
UUUUCUGCCACCGAAUACAUUAGCAUGGGAUAAUGGAAUAGGACCCUGUCCUCCUAUUUUCAGUUGGUUUUGGCAGCGCGAGGACUAGGGUAAUGAUUAAUAGGGAUAGUUGGGGGCAUUAAUAUUUAAUUGUCAGAGGUGAAAUUCUUGGAUUUAUGAAAGAUUAACUUCUGCGAAAGCAUCUGCCAAGGAUGUUUUCAUUAAUCAAGAACGAAAGUUAGGGGAUCGAAGACGAUCAGAUACCGUCGUAGUCUUAACCAUAAACGAUGCCGACCAGCGAUUAGGAGACGUUGAAUACAAAACACCACCAUCGGCGCGGUCGUCCUUGGCGCGUUCGUGUUCACGCACGAGCGCGCGAGG